Molecule: ribosomal RNA, 880 nt
Filed under: uncultured Fusobacterium sp.
Lineage: Bacteria; Fusobacteriati; Fusobacteriota; Fusobacteriia; Fusobacteriales; Fusobacteriaceae
Description: bacterial SSU rRNA
Rfam family: Bacterial small subunit ribosomal RNA
Source: RNAcentral
GACGAACGCUGGCGGCGUGCUUAACACAUGCAAGUCGAACGAUGAAGCGCUGUCUUUUUGGUGGUGUGGAUUAGUGGCGAACGGGUGAGUAAUACGCGGGCAACCUGCCCCUCUGCUUCGGGAUAAGCUUUGGAAACGGGGUCUAAUACCGGAUGUGCCUGUCUGGUCGCAUGGCUGGGCGGGGAAAGAUGUUUUUCGGCGGGGGAUGGGCUCUCGGCCUAUCAGCUUGUUGGGGGGGUGACGGCCUACCAAGGCGUCGACGGGUAGCCGGCCUGAGAGGGUGGUCGGCCACACUAGGACUGAGAUACGGCCCAGACUCCUACGGGAGGCAGCAGUGGGGGAUAUUGCGCAAUGGGCGCACGCGUGAUGCAGCGACACCGCGUGGGGGAUGGAGGCUUUCGGGUUGUAAACACCCUUUCUGGGCGGGACAAGGGUCUGUUUUGGCGGGGGUUGAGGGUACACGUCAAAGAAGCGCCCGCUAACUACGUGCCAGCAGCGGCGGAAAUACAUAGGGCGCGAGCGUUGUCCCGGAAUUAUAGGGCGUAAAGGGCUCUCAGGCGGGUUGUCGCGUCUCUUGUGAAAACGCGGGGUCACCUCUCUCGUACAAGGGUACAGGAGGCUGUAGUGCUGCAAGGGUGCUCUAAUUCCUGGGGUAGAGGUGGAAUGCGCAGAUAUCAGAAGAACACCGAUGUGAAGGAGGGCACUUGGGCGUCCUUACCUUAGGAGCGAAAGCUGGGGAGCAAAAGAAUAGAACCUUGUAGUCCAGGGGGAUUCCCAUGGGGUGCUGCCCGGGGGUACCUAGUUUAGAGUGGCUGCACGCGGAGGUUCAAUGCGCCAUAUGGGAGGCGUAUAUGCGCUCCCACGUGGCGAGAGUUGAAAA